This 119-nucleotide ribosomal RNA is filed under the name Pteropus alecto (black flying fox). Lineage: Eukaryota; Metazoa; Chordata; Mammalia; Chiroptera; Pteropodidae. The record is from RNAcentral.
GUCUACAGUCAUGCCACUCUGAACAAGCCCGAUCCUGUCUGAUCUCGGAAGCUAAGCAGGGUCGGGCCUGGUUAGUACUUAGAUGGGAGACCACCUAGGAAGACCGAGUACUGUAGGCA